UAUAACGAAUGACUUCGUUAUUGGUUUUUUAUGCUGACUUUCAUUCGGAGGAGUAUUACUACUUUGGAGGGAGGGGUUAUUGCGUCGUAUCAAUUCUAAGGUAUAAAAAAAGCGCCCUGAGGCGCUUUUUUGU
Molecule: small RNA, 133 nt
Filed under: Enterobacter ludwigii
Lineage: Bacteria; Pseudomonadati; Pseudomonadota; Gammaproteobacteria; Enterobacterales; Enterobacteriaceae
Description: Enterobacteria sRNA STnc130
Rfam family: Enterobacteria sRNA STnc130
Source: RNAcentral